GAUGAAGAACGUAGCGAAAUGCGAUAAGUAAUGUGAAUUGCAGAAUUCAGUGAAUCAUCGAAUCUUUGAACGCACCUUGCACCCUUUGGCAUUCCGAAGGGUAUGCUCGUUUGAGUGUCAUUGUACUCUCACACUCUCCGAUCCUAUGGAUUCGGGGAGCGGUGGACUUGGGUGUUGCUGCCUUUCCCUGUGGCUCACCUCAAAUGCGUCAGUGCACCUCUUGGUUGGACAUAGUACGGCGUGAUAAGUGUCUUCGCCGGCACCUCGCAAGAGGGUGGCCGAUCGGGAGCUCUGCGCUUUCAAACCGUCUUCGGACAAUUUCUGACAUCUUGACCUCAAAUCGAGUAGGACUACCCGCUGAACUUAAGCAUAUCAUAAGCGGAGGA
Molecule: unclassified non-coding RNA, 386 nt
Filed under: soil metagenome
Description: partial contains 5.8S ribosomal RNA, internal transcribed spacer 2, and large subunit ribosomal RNA
Rfam family: 5.8S ribosomal RNA (bases 1-120)
Source: RNAcentral